RNAcentral lists this ribosomal RNA (355 nucleotides) under uncultured bacterium. RNAcentral's name for it is "bacterial SSU rRNA". It matches the Rfam family "Bacterial small subunit ribosomal RNA", at positions 30 to 386 of the family's 1533-position model. The record is from RNAcentral.
AUUGAACGCUGGCGGCAUGCCUUACACAUGCAAGUCGAACGGCAGCACGGGAGCAAUCCUGGUGGCGAGUGGCGAACGGGUGAGUAAUAUAUCGGAACGUGCCCAGUCGUGGGGAUAACGUAGCGAAAGCUACGCUAAUACCGCAUACGAUCUAUGGAUGAAAGCGGGGGAUCGCAAGACCUCGCGCGAUUGGAGCGGCCGAUAUCAGAUUAGGUAGUUGGUGAGGUAAAGGCUCACCAAGCCGACGAUCUGUAGCUGGUCUGAGAGGACGACCAGCCACACUGGGACUGAGACACGGCCCAGACUCCUACGAGAGGCAGCAGUGGGGAAUUUUGGACAAUGGGCGCAAGCCUGA